RNAcentral lists this ribosomal RNA (429 nucleotides) under Chloroflexota bacterium. RNAcentral's name for it is "Chloroflexi bacterium partial 16S ribosomal RNA". It matches the Rfam family "Bacterial small subunit ribosomal RNA", at positions 355 to 776 of the family's 1533-position model. The record is from RNAcentral. Lineage: Bacteria; Bacillati; Chloroflexota.
UGGGGAAUAUUGCACAAUGGGCGCAAGCCUGAUGCAGCCAUGCCGCGUGUAUGAAGAAGGCCUUCGGGUUGUAAAGUACUUUCAGCGGGGAGGAAGGCGAUAAGGUUAAUAACCUCAUCGAUUGACGUUACCCGCAGAAGAAGCACCGGCUAACUCCGUGCCAGCAGCCGCGGUAAUACGGAGGGUGCAAGCGUUAAUCGGAAUUACUGGGCGUAAAGCGGACGCAGGCGGUCUGUCAAGUCGGAUGUGAAAUCCCCGGGCUCAACCUGGGAACUGCAUUCGAAACUGGCAGGCUAGAGUCUUGUAGAGGGGGGUAGAAUUACAGGUGUAGCGGUGAAAUGCGUAGAGAUCUGGAGGAAUACCGGUGGCGAAGGCGGCCCCCUGGACAAAGACUGACGCUCAGGUGCGAAAGCGUGGGGAGCAAACAGG